RNAcentral lists this long non-coding RNA (1446 nucleotides) under Oncorhynchus mykiss (rainbow trout). RNAcentral describes it as "lncRNA (ENSOMYG00000069748.1)". Lineage: Eukaryota; Metazoa; Chordata; Actinopteri; Salmoniformes; Salmonidae. The record is from RNAcentral.
AUGGGAAGAGAGAGAGAGAGAGAGGUGGGAAGAGAGAGAGAGAUGGGAAGAGAGAGAGAGAGAGGUGGGAAGAAAGAGAGAGAGGUGGGAAGAGAGAGAGAGAGAGAGAGAGAGAGAGAGAGAGAGAGAGAGAUGGGAAGAGAGAGAGAGAGAGAUGGGAAGAGAGAGAGAGAGAGAGAUGGGAAGAAAGAGAGAGAGGUGGGAAGAGAGAGAGAGAGAGAUGGGAAGAGAGAGAGAGAGAGAGAGAGAGAGAGAUGGGAAGAAAGAGAGAGAGAGAGAUGGGAAGAGAGAGAGAGAGAGAUGGGAAGAAAGAGAGAGAGGUGGGAAGAGAGAGAGAGAGAGAUGGGAAGAGAGAGAGAGAGAGAGAGAGAGAGAUGGGAAGAAAGAGAGAGAGAGAGAUGGGAAGAGAGAGAGAGAGAGAGAUGGGAAGAGAGAGAGAGAGAUAGAGAGAGAGAGAUGGGAAGAGAGAGAGAGAGAGAGAUAGAGAGAGAGAUGGGAAGAGAGAGAGAGAGAGAUGGGAAGAGAGAGAGAGAGAGAGAUGGGAAGAAAGAGAGAGAGGUGGGAAGAGAGAGAGAGAGAGAUGGGAAGAGAGAGAGAGAGAGAGAGAGAGAGAGAGAGAGAGAGAGAGAUGGGAAGAAAGAGAGAGAGAGAGAUGGGAAGAGAGAGAGAGAGAGAUGGGAAGAAAGAGAGAGAGGUGGGAAGAGAGAGAGAGAGAGAUGGGAAGAGAGAGAGAGAGAGAGAGAGAGAGAGAGAGAGAGAUGGGAAGAAAGAGAGAGAGAUGGGAAGAGAGAGAGAGAGAUGGGAAGAGAGAGAGAGAGGUGGGAAGAGAGAGAGAGAUGGGAAGAGAGAGAGAGAGAGAGAGAGAGAGAGAGAUGGGAAGAAAGAGAGAGAGAUGGGAAGAGAGAGAGAGAGAUGGGAAGAGAGAGAGAGAGAGAGGUGGGAAGAGAGAGAGAGAUGGGAAGAGAGAGAGAGAGAGAGAUGGGAAGAGAGAGAGAGAGAGAUGGGAAGAGAGAGAGAGAGGUGGGAAGAAAGAGAGAGAGAGAGAUGGGAAGAAAGAGAGAGAGAGAGAUGGGAAGAGAGAGAGAGAGAGAGAUGGGAAGAAAGAGAGAGAGAUGGGAAGAAAGAGAGAGAGAGAUGGGAAGAGAGAGAGAGAUGGGAAGAGAGAGAGAGAGAGAUGGGAAGAGAGAGAGAGAGAUGGGAAGAAAGAGAGAGAGAGAGAUGGGAAGAGAGAGAGAGAGAGAGAUGGGAAGAAAGAGAGAGAGAUGGGAAGAAAGAGAGAGAGAGAUGGGAAGAGAGAGAGAGAUGGGAAGAGAGAGAGAGAGAGAUGGGAAGAGAGAGAGAGAGAGAGAGAUGGGAAGAAAGAGAGAGAGAUGGGAAGAAAGAGAGAGAGAGAUGGGAAGAGAGAGAGAGAGAGGUGGGAAGAGAGAGAGAGAUGGGAAGAGAUAG